CUCUUAUUAAGAGCGAUGGAGGCAUAGGGGCCUAUGAAGUCGCGGCAACCUCUGAAAUUGAAAGGUGCCGACCCAAGCGAGUUUAACUCGAGCAAUAAGAG
This 101-nucleotide non-coding RNA is filed under the name Turicibacter sanguinis. RNAcentral's name for it is "SAM-I sequence". It matches the Rfam family "SAM riboswitch aptamer (S box leader)". Rfam says of the family: The SAM riboswitch is found upstream of a number of genes which code for proteins involved in methionine or cysteine biosynthesis in Gram-positive bacteria. The SAM riboswitch acts at the level of transcription termination control. RNAcentral also lists the same sequence under 1 other name. Lineage: Bacteria; Bacillati; Bacillota; Erysipelotrichia; Erysipelotrichales; Turicibacteraceae. The record is from RNAcentral.